AACGAACGCUGGCGGCAUGCCUAACACAUGCAAGUCGAACGAGACCUUCGGGGCUAGUGGCGCACGGGUGCGUAACGCGUGGGAACCUGCCCUUAGGUUCGGAAUAACUCCCCGAAAGGGGUGCUAAUACCGGAUAAUGUCUUCGGACCAAAGAUUUAUCGCCUUUGGAUGGGCCCGCGUUGGAUUAGCUAGUUGGUAGGGUAAAAGCCUACCAAGGCGACGAUCCAUAGCUGGUCUGAGAGGAUGAUCAGCCACACUGGGACUGAGACACGGCCCAGACUCCUACGGGAGGCAGCAGUGGGGAAUAUUGGACAAUGGGCGAAAGCCUGAUCCAGCAAUGCCGCGUGAGUGAUGAAGGCCUUAGGGUUGUAAAGCUCUUUUACCCGGGAUGAUAAUGACAGUACCGGGAGAAUAAGCUCCGGCUAACCCCGUG
RNAcentral lists this ribosomal RNA (433 nucleotides) under uncultured bacterium. Its description in RNAcentral is "partial 16S ribosomal RNA". It matches the Rfam family "Bacterial small subunit ribosomal RNA", at positions 29 to 507 of the family's 1533-position model. The record is from RNAcentral.